RNAcentral lists this long non-coding RNA (805 nucleotides) under Equus asinus (donkey). Its description in RNAcentral is "lncRNA (ENSEASG00005025816.1)". Lineage: Eukaryota; Metazoa; Chordata; Mammalia; Perissodactyla; Equidae. The record is from RNAcentral.
ACAGAAGCGUUCAACACGGAGCAAACGAAGCUGCGGCUUCAGGGCCCUCGCUGUGCAGCCCCUUGCAGAGCCUCGAGUCUGACGGCCACCUGUCCCCGAGAAAGGCCGCUCCCCUCGCCCGCGUCUUUGGCGUGUCAGGCCCCACACACUCUGGAUUGGCCCUGGACGGGUCCUAGCCUUUUCUUUUUCUGCGGGGAUGGGUAAAUGUUGAGUGAGCAUUCGUGAUUGCACCUCCUCCAAUCAAGCUGUGGGAUAUCUUUGAGGAGAGCCAAGCUUUCAAGUAAAAGUGAAGAGCUGGAGAGAGCUUUGAAGAGGAGGAGGGAGAAAGAAGCACGGCCUUGCUACUUGGAGAGGAUCAGAGAAGACAGGAAAAAGGCAGUAGGAAAAGCAGCCAGAGGAUAGAGAGGCUGCUUACUAUUGUGAAAGAACACUGGAUUAGGAGUUAGACGAAAGACCGCGGUUUGAGUUUCUUCUUUGCCACCUAAACCCUUACAGGUUCUUUUCAUUUCCAUGGAAAGGUUAGAAUCAGCUUGUCAAUUUCCACAACAAAGCUAACUGGGAUUUCGCCCAUUUACAGAGGAUUGAAAGAUGGCCCCCCCAAAAAGUUGUGGCAUGUGGGAUGCUGCCUCAGCAUGGCCUGAUGAGUGGUGCCACGUCCUCACCCAGGAUCCGAACCGGCGAAACCCCUGGGCCACCGCAGCGGAGUGCACGAACUUAUAAACACUUGGUCACGGGGCCGGCCCCUCAAAUCUUUUUUAACCUUAGUAAUCUUUUGGGUUUUCUGAUCUCUCAUUUACUGAAAUAA